RNAcentral lists this ribosomal RNA (950 nucleotides) under Salmonella enterica. RNAcentral describes it as "partial 23S ribosomal RNA". It matches the Rfam family "Bacterial large subunit ribosomal RNA", at positions 1918 to 2862 of the family's 2925-position model. Lineage: Bacteria; Pseudomonadati; Pseudomonadota; Gammaproteobacteria; Enterobacterales; Enterobacteriaceae. The record is from RNAcentral. RNAcentral also lists the same sequence under 4 other names.
CCCCGGUAAACGGCGGCCGUAACUAUAACGGUCCUAAGGUAGCGAAAUUCCUUGUCGGGUAAGUUCCGACCUGCACGAAUGGCGUAAUGAUGGCCAGGCUGUCUCCACCCGAGACUCAGUGAAAUUGAACUCGCUGUGAAGAUGCAGUGUACCCGCGGCAAGACGGAAAGACCCCGUGAACCUUUACUAUAGCUUGACACUGAACAUUGAGCCUUGAUGUGUAGGAUAGGUGGGAGGCUUUGAAGUGUGGACGCCAGUCUGCAUGGAGCCGACCUUGAAAUACCACCCUUUAAUGUUUGAUGUUCUAACGUGGACCCGUAAUCCGGGUUGCGGACAGUGUCUGGUGGGUAGUUUGACUGGGGCGGUCUCCUCCUAAAGAGUAACGGAGGAGCACGAAGGUUGGCUAAUCCUGGUCGGACAUCAGGAGGUUAGUGCAAUGGCAUAAGCCAGCUUGACUGCGAGCGUGACGGCGCGAGCAGGUGCGAAAGCAGGUCAUAGUGAUCCGGUGGUUCUGAAUGGAAGGGCCAUCGCUCAACGGAUAAAAGGUACUCCGGGGAUAACAGGCUGAUACCGCCCAAGAGUUCAUAUCGACGGCGGUGUUUGGCACCUCGAUGUCGGCUCAUCACAUCCUGGGGCUGAAGUAGGUCCCAAGGGUAUGGCUGUUCGCCAUUUAAAGUGGUACGCGAGCUGGGUUUAGAACGUCGUGAGACAGUUCGGUCCCUAUCUGCCGUGGGCGCUGGAGAACUGAGGGGGGCUGCUCCUAGUACGAGAGGACCGGAGUGGACGCAUCACUGGUGUUCGGGUUGUCAUGCCAAUGGCACUGCCCGGUAGCUAAAUGCGGAAGAGAUAAGUGCUGAAAGCAUCUAAGCACGAAACUUGCCCCGAGAUGAGUUCUCCCUGAGACUUAGAGUCUCCUGAAGGAACGUUGAAGACGACGACGUUGAUAGGCC